CAGUCGCCGCGGGAAUACGUAGGGUGCAAGCGUUAAUCGGAAUUACUGGGCGUAAAGCGUGCGCAGGCGGUUUGUUAAGACAGAUGUGAAAUCCCCGGGCUCAACCUGGGAACUGCAUUUGUGACUGGCAAGCUAGAGUCUGGCAGAGGGGGGUGGAAUUCCGCGUGUAGCAGUGAAAUGCGUAGAUAUGCGGAGGAACACCGAUGGCGAAGGCAGCCCCCUGGGCCAACACUGACGCUCAUGCGCGAAAGCGUGGGGAGCAAACAGGAUUAGAUACCCCUGUAGUCCCUGUCUCUUAUAC
This 301-nucleotide ribosomal RNA is filed under the name uncultured bacterium. RNAcentral's name for it is "partial 16S ribosomal RNA". It matches the Rfam family "Bacterial small subunit ribosomal RNA", at positions 509 to 807 of the family's 1533-position model. The record is from RNAcentral.